Molecule: long non-coding RNA, 11769 nt
Organism: Camelus dromedarius (Arabian camel)
Lineage: Eukaryota; Metazoa; Chordata; Mammalia; Artiodactyla; Camelidae
Exons: 4
Source: RefSeq, a predicted model, not a curated record
AGUGCCCCAGGCGCUGGCCUGUACGGGCAGCAUCAGUGCUUUCUUAUGCUCUGCCUUCCAGCUGGGUUCAUUCGAAGAGGAAGCUGGGAGGCACCAGUGGGAGUGGGGGGAGGGAGGAAGGCCGGGCUCAUUUCUUGCUCCUCCCUGGUCUUCUGAAGGCCACAGCUGCCUUCCGACCGCCUCCGACCGCUGCAGCCAUGGCCACGGCUCCCUCCGCAUUCUGCUGCCUGCCCCUCCCUCUGCCCAUCAGGCUGGGGGUGGGAACGGCUGCCUGGGACGCUUCUCCGGCCCGUGUUGGCCUCCCUGAACCUUUCCUGUCCUUUGUACAGUAGCUCACCCUGUGUUUCUCUCCUCGCCCACCCAGCUGAGGACACCGUCCUUUUUUUUUGGCGGGACCCCGAGAGCAGCUUAGAAGGAGAGAGCUGGGCCCCUGCAGCGUUGUUGAGCCGCUGCACCGAUCCUGGGCCACCUGCCUGCGGACCUCACACCACGAGGUGAAUAAGCAAACCAGAAGCAGCUCUAUCACUGGAGUGUGGUUUGCCCGCAGUUGCCACUGAAUUCAUUCCCAGCUGAUUUACUAACAGGUAUUUUCAAACAAUCAAAACCCUUGGCUAAGACGUUCCUCAAAGAAAAUGAAUGGAUUCGGCCAUGGGAAGAGCCUUGAGUUGGCUGGAAGAAGGAGGGGGAAAAGGCUCUAUGAAGUGUGAGAAAACUUCAGUUGUUCCUCCCAAAUGGACAACUUCACUCAAGUUUAACGGUGAGUGUUUUCCCGCUGGUUUCCUCUCCUCUCUUCUAAGUGAAAACAGGAUUUUAAAUCUGUGAAUGUCGACACAGAAUCGAGGCCGCACAAGUUCAUCCUGUACCAAUAAACAGACUCAGCCCAGCCAAAGCUUUGGGAAAUCAAUCAAUAUCUUGUUUUUCUCAACUGAGGCUAGGAAAAGAGCACUCGUCCUUCAAAUGUCAGUAACAUCUGUGUUGCAACUCAGUCACUGGCAUCCAACUCACCCCAGCGGCCCCACACGUUUCCGUCCCGAGAAGCAGCCAACACUUCCCCGCCCGCGACACCCCCACCCCAACGCCAAAGGCCUCUCCACCUGAAGGCACUUUGUUCUGAAGUGUCCUUCUAUGAACGCGUCACUGGGCCUCAGACCACAGGGAAAGGGCAGGAGGGAAAUGCUCCCCCUCCUUGUGGUCCAGCCGGUUCACUCCACGUCCAGGGUCCAGUGGACACUGUCCCGCCUCUUCCGAGCACCUCUUUGUGGCCGUGCUGCGGGGAACCACAGGGGACUAAGACACACACCCGCUCCCGCAGGGUUCAUGGUCUAAUCUCACAGCCCUGGCACCGAUUACUAAGUGCUCAGGGAGCGGAGAGCGUGUAGGAGAGCAAGGAAGGGGAAGCCAUCUCCUCCGGGGAGGAUCCUGGUGGGACGGCUGAGCUGAGCCGGACGUGAAACGUGGCACCGCUCUCCCAGCCUCUGCUCCGGAAGCACACCUGCAAUAAAUACACGUUAACUCUGGGUUUUUGCUGCGCAAGAUGCUACAGCACACAGCAAACUGGGCUGACCUCUGUCAUAAUAGCCCACGUCUGCUGGUAAUUAUGUGUUUCCUAAUGCGAUUCCACCGAGGGAGCUCAUGACUGUGUGGUUUCUGCCCUCCCAACACCCGACACGGAAUCCAGCCCGCAGAGGGCUCCCCGUAACCGGCUGAUUGGUUGCUCGAUUACAUUUGGUAUAUACCCCAUGCUAGUGAUUCCAGGGCAAUCUUCCUGACUUCCUAAUUCACAAGGAAAUAAAUUACAGGGAAGGAGCUUUUAGUCCCUCCCAGCUUGAUUUGCCAAGACCUGAGGGAAAGAAAUCAGAAGAGACAGGCUGAGGGGACAUAGCAUUAUGCAUAUUUUUGGGUGAACGUUUUUAUUCAAGAGUCUGUGCUCACCAAAAUAGUGCCGACUUCCACGCACCAGAAGACGAGUCAGAAGAAAUGCAAGGGAUUACGAUGCAGUCUCUCCCAAAGCCUCGCUGCUCAAAGAGUGGUCCAGGGACCAGCGGCAGGCACGUCGCCUGGAGCUCGCUAGAACGCAGACUGGGGUCCCCAGAGACCUGCCUUAUGAGAACCUGCAGGCUAACAGGUCCCUGGGGGAUGUGGAGGAACACGUAAGUCUGAACGGCACUGUUUUCAAACCUUCCAAUUACAGAGUCACUAGCUUAUCUUCACAGAAAGGAGAAAGCAGCCAUGGGAAGAGCAGACCCGCGCACGCCCAGGGCAGAGCCCCCGCCCUGCCAUCAUCCACAGGGGCACGCACAGCGCACCUCCCAGCAGCGUGCUGGGCUCUCCAGGAAGAGGGCCUCUGUGGUCAGCUCCUGGAAGGCAUCCUUUCUUGAAUUUGCUGUGUGGAUGCUUUCCCAGCUCAGGAAAGGGACACCACAGGGUCAAUCAAUCAGUAAUGCUGAGCCAAACGAACGCUCUGACGCAGCAGCCGCAGGUCAUGACCAGACAGACGGCAGGAAGGGUGACCACCUGCCGGACAUGUACAGGCAGACGCCCGUCCUCCAGCUUAGCUCAAACCAUCAAGUGCCUACGGAGCAGUCAUGUUUGAUCCGGCAAACCUGCUCUGCGGCAUUAGAGGAGCUUUUAUUUCUGCAGCUACAUUUUUGAGAGACGGCAGAGCAGGGCUGGGGGCUGCUGCAGGCCGGCAGGGGUUUGGCGGUACCUCCCCAGGUGUCCGCCCCCGGGUGGGGUGCAGGACCAGACAGAGAUGAAUAUCUAGGAGAACUCUGAGGCCUGCCGGAUGGUACACACUGGCGAGUGCAGGAGCCAAUCUGUGCACCUGCAUCUAUUUAAUAUGGUUGAGACAAUUCCAUCAAAAGAGUGGGGAGCAGACAAGGCAGUGAGGGACUCGCGCUACCACAGAGUUCAAAUCCAACAUGUGGGACACAGUGCGUUUACUGCUCAAGCACAAGAUCAUAAAAAUAUUUCUAGCCUUACUUAAAAAUUUUCAAUAUUUUAAUUAUACACGCACAUAUAUUCUUAUAUCUUCUUUCUGUGAGUUUAUGCAAAAAUGCUUAAAACAUCCAAAGGCAAGAAUGGGAGGAGUGGGCAAGUCAGACUCUCAGAGCUGGAGAUGAUCUUCAGCAUCGUCUGAUGCUUUCUGGGUUGUCUCCCCCUGUUUGAGGAAACUGAAGUUCAGAGAAGAUUAUAACUUAUUCCAGGUCCCAUGAGGAGCGGCUGAGUCAGAACCGGAACUCAGAACUUGUGAUCCAGAGACUGGACUGUGCCCACAUCACACUGCCUUUAAAAUUAAACACACUCACACACUUCCUUAAUGACAGACCAAAGACGGUUCUGGUUGCUGGGUUUGCUUUUUGACACAAGUCUUCCAAGACGAGCCGUCUCCGUAGCACCUUGCUGGUGAAUCAAAGGCGUGAGUAGCCCUGGUUUAAGAAUAAAAUGUAUUGACUGCAAGAGUACAAUAUUAUUCUCUGGCCUUAUAAAUAAUGUUCCAUUUCAGGUGCUUUUCUUACAGUCUGCCUUUCAGAACCAGUUUGGAUCAACCACAUGAGUUUCAGAGACAAGCUUCCCAAACACCAGGUGGGGGCAGAAAAGCCCCCUUUGCAGGCACUCUGUGCCCCGAAUGUGCUGCUGUCACAGGUCUGUACGAGAUCCCCAGCCCUGCCUACGGCUCUCAGGGCACCAGUUACAAAGAGCUGUGGCCAGGUAAAGAGCAGGAGGGCUGAGAGGCCAUGGUGCGAGGAGCCAGGUGCACCCCAGAAAUGGGCGCCUCCUCUUCCUUAUAAUGUGGCUGCUCAGACAACCAUAACCAUAUCGGUGUAAACGUCACACACAACUGUAGCUUAAGUAGGCUGGGGCAAACAGGUUAUUUUUUUACAGUUGCAAAGUUUUUACAUUUAUGUGAAAUGAUACAAUGUUAACUCUAAAGAGACAGAGACAAGUGAAGGAUGUACACUGUUACCCCUAAAGCAACCACAGGGGAAAAAAGCAAAAAAGACAUAGCUCCAGAAGACAAUAGAUAAGUUAAAAUGGAAUUCUAAAAAUCAACUCAAAAAUAAGACAAUCAGAAGACAAAUAGCAAAAGGACAGAUUUCCAGUCAUCAAUAAUUACAAUCAAUGUAGAGAAUGAGACUCUCCGAAGAAAGGCAGAGAUAUUCAGAGUGAAUGUAAAAAAGGGAGACCCAGUGAUAUGCUGUCUACAAGCGACGCACUUUUAAUGUAAAUGCACAGAGGGGUGUGGGUAGAGCUCAGUGGUAGAGCGCGCCCUUAGCAUGCACGGGGGUCCUGGGUCCAAUCCCCAGCAUCUCCAUUAAAUAAACAAAAUAAAUAAAGGAGAUCAAUCAAGUUGGGACCAGAGUUUGUUUUUUUUUAAAAAUGUAAAUACACAGAUAAGCUGAAAGCAAAAGGAUGGGGGAAGGCACACCAUUUGUCACUACAUUAACAUCAGAUCUAAGACACGUGAAGACAAGGUAUCACUGGAAAUAAAGAGGGACAUUUCAUAAUAAUGAAAGUGUCAAUUUAUCACGAGGUCCUAACAGUCAUAAAAGUGUAUGAGCUUAACAAAAGAGUUUUGAAGUAUGUGCAGCAAGACUCAGCAGACAGCAGGGAGAGGCGGACUGGUGCAUGUCCGCACAGAGGCACCGGGCUCCGCGUCAGCAGCCCCUGGGCAUGUUCUGUACCCGUCGCCCACGGAUCAAGAGAAAAACCCUUUCCACUCUUGUGAUCAGGGAUCCAGCCAAUCAGAAGGAAGCUGUCUGCUCCCCACCCCUCGCUACUGUUACAGGAAGUAGAAACUUGCAGGUGGGUUUGUGGUGCUAAGUUUGGCUGUGAAAGGCUAACUGGGUUCAGCUGCUGGCGGGUCAAGCAGGUAGGCUGACACCUACUGCCCCCCGCACGGCAGUGGGUGCUCUAGAGGUGGUCCCCCUCGCUUAGAGGUGGGGGUCAUCUCCUCCAUCGGUGAGGUCACAGGGCACCUGACACCCAAACUCCUCGUGGUCCUUUCCCCCUUGGGAGCGACCCUCUCAUCAGAGAAUAGCAAUGACCCUGAAUUUGAAGAAGGAUGAGGCUCAGCUCUUAAUAUACAGAAAUUUUAAACCCAACACCCCCCGUCUCUGCGGAGGAAAUUAGUCCAAUACUAACUAUAAUUACUAAAUUACAAUUCCCCCAAUUUUUUCUUAUUGCAGAAAGGAAGAUUCCAUUCGCAGAUUAAAUUACUUUUCAGCAAAAUUAAAUACGUAACAAAAGCAAACGAAAUCCGGCAUCAGUGAGGUGUGCCUAUCCUGUUCAUCAGCAACCACGAGCUUUACACACUCUUAUUUUAAAACAGCAACUGAACAUUGAAAAGUAUAAGCGGUUGAAGUGUUUCUGGUUAAAUCACAGUGUAAGUGAUUUAAGCUCAGCUCUGAUUUCAAAAAACAAAACAGAACAGGGAAACAGGAAGUCAUUAUGAAUGACAAUAAGAACAGGUGCCAUUUGUCCCCCGACUGAUGGACGGAAGAUGAAGGGGACUGGUGAGGUGAGUACUAAUGUCACCACGCUUACAUGUGAGGAACCGGGGGGCACAGCCCCAGAAACGAGGACAGAUAAGGAAUAUCAAUUCCACAGUCAGACUCAGACUGACUGGUGACAUGUGGUCAAGAACUGCACACUUUUGGCUGGGUGUGCAAUUGAAUUAUUUUUAUGAGAAGACCACGUUGGAAUUUAUCCUAAGGAAAAAGGAUGAAGAUGUGUUUAAGUAUUUAGCUAUGAAGAUAUUUGCUGAAGCUUUAUGAAACUGAAAAAUAUGAGGCUGUCUAUAAAUGUCCAGUGAUGAGACAGGUUAAGAAAUCACUCCCUCCCUCCCACAAACACACACACACCCCCCGACACAGCAGGAAACAUGUUGAGAAGGUCUGUUUCUGAGCCUGAACGAUGUUUGCCCUGGUUUGUUAUGGGGAGGGGUAAACUGAGACACAAGACAGAGCAUUACGUGCAGUCUAGUCCUAAUAGUAAAAUCUCGUCGGCAGACUUGCAUGUGUAAUUAUACAUGUAGAAGGAUCCGGUCGUAUAAACACCAAAAUGCUAUCCGUGACCACCUCUGGGUUUGGGGAUUUGGGGUGACUUUUAUUUUCCUGUUUUUACUUGCGUUUCCUGCACGAACACGAGGUACUGACAGAAUAGAGAACACGCGUGAACAGUGGUAAGGCGGCCUGCCCAGGCCUUUUCUACUUUUACCCUCCUUAAGUUCUUUAUUAAAGGCUUUACCCCAGUGAAAUUCCCAGUGUUUGCAGGGCUCUUCAUAAACGUGCUCUCUGCACUCGGUGCACGCCAGCCCGGUCACCCCGAGCGCGGCCAGGGCUCCCGGCCCGGGCGGCCGGCCGCCUGGCCUCGGUUAGCAGGCUGUGCGCCCUGGCCUCCCAGGCGCCGCGCCCGCCGCCGAUGGCGCGGGUACUGUGUGACGUGACUGAGUCCCCCAGAGGGCACGUCCAGGUCCUGACCGCCGGCACCUGUGACGGCGCCUUGUGUGGAAGUGGAGCGGCUGCAGAUGGAACUAGCUGCGAGGAGGCCACACCGGAGCAGGGCGGGCCCUUGAGCCGGCGUGACUGGCGCGCUCAUAAGGAGAGAGAGCGGCGGGAAGGGGCCCCGCAGCCGGGAGCCGCAGGCGGGGUUCUCCACGGGGACCCUUGGAGGCAGGGCGGCCCUGCUCACACCCUGACCUACGGCUCCCCGCCUCGUCACCCGAGCGGGCCCACUGACGCAGCGCAGCGGGAGGACACGCCCGGGGCUUCCCUGCCGCUACCGCGGCCGCCUGCUGCGGCCCUCGCCCCUCGACUCGCGGCGCUCGGGGGCUGGGCCGCGCCACCCCCUCUCCUGCGAGGCCUGAGCACCACAGCAGCCUCGACGAGGCCUUGGGGACAGUUCUCAGAGCAUCAGUGUCGUCCCGGGUAACCUGGACUGAGAGCACUGGCUUGCGGUCCUCUCUGAGAUUUCUGGAAGCCUCUUGCCAGGAGCGGGAGUGGGGCAGGUAGCGGUGGUGGUGGUAGCGCCACGUCCCAGCAGGAAUCACAGUUCACCCGGACGGACAGCAUUAACACAGAAGCUUUGCUGAAACUACUACUGAGAGGGGUGGCCGGGGUGAAGGGGACAAACGAGGGACGCGAGACAUCUGGAGACCAGCAGCAGGGGGCCGUUCCGCCCCGGAGCCGGUGGAGCGGGCGUGCCUGAGGGCAUGGCUGUGGGCCCGUCUCUGAGGACAGUCCGCGCUGCACCUGGUCUCGGCACCUCCGGUCCGCGGCCGGUCUGACCAUCUUCCAAAGCAAACGAGAGCGUGACUCCCGAGCUCCCGGGGUGCCCCACGCCUGGAGCAGCAGGCACCCCAGGGCUGCACAGACUUCUAAGAAAUCCAGUCCUAUAAACUUUCAGCAUUCAGGUCACCCGCGGCACCUUUGCUCAGCCAGACUGUCCCCUGCAGGCCACCGGCCAACGUGGUGUCCAGGUGGCGCAUGUGGGUCACACCACUGUGCAGAGGGUGGCGGACCUCAGUCCGAGGCUGGCCCUGCAGCUCCUGACAAGGCUCACAGGUCAUCGCGCCUUAAGUGCUGCUUCAUACCCCGUGUCCUUAUGCUGCUGUGUAUAAUAGUAAUGAUGGUGGUGAUAAGACCUCCACGGCUCCCAGGAAGGAGGGAGGAAGGGGCCGUGAGCGUCCUUCCUCCAGGCAGGGCUUGUUGCACGUCUCACGGCGAAGUCCUGAGUAAACGCAACCCGAGCUCAAACACGGCCUUGAACACUAUGUACUUACCAGGCUGAAAUCCAGGUGGCCGCAAGGGGCGACAACAGCCUGCUGGCUGAGAUGUCUCUCCUGGAGCCGUCUGGACACGGGGGGGACUGUGCUUCAGGGUCACUGCAUGGGGCCUGUGGCUCCUCCGUCCCCACAGUGUCAUCUGGUCUCUGCUGCAGGAACACAGGGAGACCAAAACAGGACUCAGGAAGGCACUCUGUCUUCAAAGAGAGGACCCAGAAGUUGCCGGUGGCACAUCUGCUCGCAUGACAUCAGCCCUGUGACCACGCCUGGGCACACGGGAGCCUGGGAGACGAGGUUGUGUGUCCAGCGACAACUCAGGGGUUCUGUCUGUAAACACCUGGUUUUUAUGUAUCUUAUAACGUAUGCGAGAUGUCAGCACAGCCAUGCACGUGUAAUUCACAGACACACUGACACACUUAUUUAGGGUGACAGCUAAGCCCGGUGUAACCAACGGGAACAUGUGAUCACAAGGGUCGCAGAGGGAGGCGCUGCUUUGGGACAGGUCCCUGGCGCUCUCCUUACUUGCGGCAAGUGAUGACAAAUCCCUCCUUCUCCUCCCCAGGGAAAAGGGGCUUCUGCAGACGUCAGCCCUGGGUAUAAGGGCUAAGCCACUCAGCAUGGCCUCGGGUUUGGCCACACGAACUUCCCCCACUUGUCUAGAUGCCCUACCGACCGGCCAGCCAUGCUCCGACAUUUGGGGUGCUCACGCCAAAGCCCCUCUUCCUCUUCCUCCCUGUGAUUGGACAGGCUGGAGCGCCACACCCCCGAGGGGCCCUCUGCAUGAACCUCUACAAUAAACCUGCCGGGAUGCGGCGGACGGUGGCCCUGUGUCUCGGGCUGCAGGGCUCCUCCCGUUUGUCGACGUCUGACCCCGCGAGCCUGUGACCGCGGUAUCCCACGUGCCAAGGGAACUCUGCACGUGUGGUCGAGUCAAGGCUCUUGAGAUGGGGGGAUUCUCCUGGGUCACCCAGGCGGGUCCUGUGUCACCACGAGGGUCCUCAGACGGGAAGGAGGGAGUUGGAGGAGGAAGCGGGCUGAUACACAGCAGCAGCUGCGAUCCAAGGAGUUGGGGGUCUCCCCUGAGCCUCCAGGAGGAACACAGCCUGCCGACCCCAUGAUUUUAACUCACAGAAGCCUGUUUGGUGUCUGACCUCCUGAGAAAAUGUGCAUUGUUUCAAGCCACCAAGUUUAGGACAAUCUGCCAGCCCAGCGUCAGGAAACCCACGCGACGUCCUUCUCUGGGAGCUCACAAGCCCGCAGGACAUAGGCAGGAGCCGAGCCUCUGUGCGCAGUGUAUACAGCAGAUGCUCAGUGAGCGUUUGUGGAAAGCAAACAAUGGGGGUGGGGGGCAGGGAGGGCAGUAGCUUCCGGCUCAGAAGGACCAGGAUUUGAACCCCUGCUCUGACGCUACUUCAUGCAUGCAACAGCUCUGAGCACACUUCUCAGCUCAGGACUCAGCAGCUGCACCUGCGACGUAGCAAAUGACACCUUCUUUCUGGUGCCUGCGACGAUUAAACAACAGAGGCCUUAUGGGGCGUCUGUAUUUUGGGCAAUAACCAAGGAAAACAGGCCGUGAGCACGACGACCUCAGACGCUGUCCCCCGCCCACUCUGCUUCCCAGCUCCACAUCCUCCCUCCCGGCUACGCCCCCUUCACCCCAGAAACCCCGUUCUUGACAGUGAACUCGCCUACAGACCUGGCCUCUUCCCCAGGUGCUCCCACACUCCAGGGCUUGGCAAAACCGGCCUCCCCUGCAGACACCGCUGGGCUGCUGGCCGAGGUGGGGAUGCCCGCUCUCCCACGGACCUUAGUCCACGGUCUGUAACGUCCACCCAAGCUGGGCGGCUUCAAACAACAGGAGCUUAUUCUCAGUUCUAGAGGCUAGAAGUUGGAACCCAGGGACCGUGAGCACCAGGCUCGCUCUGGCGGCCCUAGGGGAGGAGGCUUCCCGCCCCCGGAAGCCCCCGGGGGCUCCGGCCAUCCUCGCAUCCCCUGGCCUGGAGCUGAGCACUCAACCUCUGCCUCCAUCGCUCCGAGGCCCCGUCCUGUCAUACUGGAUUCAGGGCCAGCUAGACUCCGGGUGACCUCCGCUUGACUACUCACAGCUGUGAUGACCCACUUUCCAAAUAGGGCUGUGCUCUGAGGUCCUGAAAAGGACAUGAUCUGGGGGACACGAUCCAAUCCAGCGCGCCCUCGCUGCCACAGCCACUUGCUGUUCUCUGAGUCACUGACUUCAUUCCUUGGGACCUGGGGACCCGGCAUCUCGUCUGCCUCCACAUCCCAAACCUACCAUCAGCCUUUGUCCUCCACAAGCAUGACCCGUCCGGACCUUGGCCUCUCCAUCCCCUGACCUGCAGGGCCCUGGUGACUCGCUCGACACCAAUGCAGUCACCUAAUCCCAAGGCCACGCUGUGACUUCGUCAUCAUCUGCAGAUGCUGGCCUCUGAAACCACACAUUCAUAGAGCCUCCUGUGUGACCAGGGGUGCUUCUCCUCCAGACUGUGUGUCCAGGAACAAACGUGCAGGUGCCUGGGCCACGUCAGUGGGCAAGCGAAGAUCCCCGCACCGCAGAGAUGACACCGAGUCCUCAUGGCAUUCUGCACGGUUCUUCCUCCCGAGAGCACAGGAGGUGCCUGUCCCCUGCCGGCCUCCCCUCUGCUGCCUGCCUGCCCUGCUGGGGCUCUGAGACCCCAUCAGCUACCAAUAUGCUCACCUGCCUUGUCCCAGUGUCCUUCUGUCCCACCUGGAAGAACCCAGGUGGUAGCACAGAGGAACCGUCCCACCCCCCUGCAGACCGUGUGAAAUCCAUCCAGACCCCAAGGAGGCUCUCAGCACUGAAAGGAGCUGUGCUUACUUCUAACCAGCUCCGCCCUCACUGCACGGGCGGGUGGCCUCUGCUCCUCCAGGAAACACUGAAACUGCUCGAAGGCAGCACCCCAGCCCGCCACCGCCUGUGGUCCCUGGCCUUCCUCUGCAGGGCGCCCUCCAGGGAUGACCUGUCCAGCCUCCGCAGGACUCUUCAGACUGUUCUUGCAGAACAUGUUGGCUCUCCACAGGCCUGCCUGGAGGACAGCACCAGGCAGCUGAAUGCGCUUCCGCGGACAGCUGCAGCCACGCGGAUGAGGCGUCGUCUCUGUUUCCUCCUCCUCCUCUUCCCCUCACUCUUGCUGGGAUGACACUUGCCAAUGAAGUCUUAGCAAGUAAGCUAAGUCACGCCCCCCCCCCCACAGAAGUAGUGUCAUCCUGCUAUCAGAACGAUGACACGCACGCUUCACACCCACUGGGAUAACUAGAAUCAGAAAGGCAGACAACGGCAAGGUUGGUGAGCACGUGGGGGAACCAGAACCCUCACACGCUACUGGUAGGAACACAAAGUGGAACAGCUGCUUUGGAAAAGAGUCCAGCAGAUCCAUAAUGACAGAGUUACCACGUGACGGGCAGGUCCACUCCUGGCAGCUCCACCCAAGAGACGUGAAAACACGUGCCCACACAGACACUCACACACCAGGUGUUUGUAGAAACAUUAUUCAUCAUAGCUAAACAGGGAAAACAACGCACUGGUCCAUCAGCUGGUGAACAGGUAAACAGAACGUGACUGUCUCCACACAAUGGGUCGUUACUUGACCAGGAAGAAGUACUGACACGCGAUACAGAUGAGCCCUGAAAACAUGACGCUAAGGGACAGAAGCUGGACACAAAGGACCACAGGUUAUAUACUCCCGUUCAUGCAGAACUCCAGAACCAUAACCAGACUGCACAGGGAAACUGCGCAGCCAGAAAGGGGAUCAUGGUUGCCUAGGGCUGGGGAGUGGAGGCCGGGAGGGUGGACUGGGGGUGGGCAAGGAGGGUGACAGCUGAGGCACACAGUGUCUUUCUGGAUCAAUGAAAAUGUUCUAAAACUGACUGUGGUGUUGGUUGCACAACUUUGUGGAUAUAAUACUAAAGACUAUUGAACUGUACACUUUAAAUGAGUAAAUUUCACG